UGGGGAAUACUGGACAAUGGGCGAAAGCCUGAUCCAGCCAUGCCGCGUGUGUGAAGAAGGUCUUCGGAUUGUAAAGCACUUUAAGUUGGGAGGAAGGGCAGUAAGCGAAUACCUUGCUGUUUUGACGUUACCGACAGAAUAAGCACCGGCUAACUCUGUGCCAGCAGCCGCGGUAAUACAGAGGGUGCAAGCGUUAAUCGGAAUUACUGGGCGUAAAGCGCGCGUAGGUGGUUCGUUAAGUUGAAUGUGAAAGCCCCGGGCUCAACCUGGGAACUGCAUCCAAAACUGGCGAGCUAGAGUAGGGCAGAGGGUGGUGGAAUUUCCUGUGUAGCGGUGAAAUGCGUAGAUAUAGGAAGGAACACCAGUGGCGAAAGCGACCACCUGGGCUCAUACUGACACUGAGGUGCGAAAGCGUGGGGAGCAAACAGG
This 429-nucleotide ribosomal RNA is filed under the name Pseudomonadota bacterium. Its description in RNAcentral is "Proteobacteria bacterium partial 16S ribosomal RNA". It matches the Rfam family "Bacterial small subunit ribosomal RNA", at positions 355 to 776 of the family's 1533-position model. Lineage: Bacteria; Pseudomonadati; Pseudomonadota. The record is from RNAcentral.